GACGAACGCUGGCAGCGUGCCUAAUACAUGCAAGUCGAGCGGAUUUAGUUUGUAGCUUGCUACAAACUAAGUUAGCGGCGGACGGGUGAGUAACACGUAGGCAACCUGCCCUUAAGACCGGGAUAACAUCCGGAAACGAAUGCUAAGACCGGAUAGGCAGCGAGGCGGCAUCGCCUUGCUGAGAAACACGGAGCAAUCUGUGGCUUGAGGAUGGGCCUGCGGCGCAGUAGCUAGUUGGUGGGGUAACGGCUCACCAAGGCGCCGAUGCGUAGGCGACAGAGGAGGGUGAACGGCCACACUGGGACGGGGACACGGCCCAGACUCCUACGGGAGGCAGCAGUAGGGAAUCUUCCACAAUGGGCGCAAGCCUGAUGGAGCAACGCCGCGUGAGUGAGGAAGGCUUUCGGGUCGUAAAGCUCUGUUGCCAGGGAAGAAUAAGGGUGUGUUAACUGCACACCCGAUGACGGUACCUGAGAAGAAAGCCCCGGCUAACUACGUGCCAGCCGCCGCUGUAA
This 515-nucleotide ribosomal RNA is filed under the name uncultured bacterium. RNAcentral's name for it is "partial 16S ribosomal RNA". It matches the Rfam family "Bacterial small subunit ribosomal RNA", at positions 28 to 523 of the family's 1533-position model. The record is from RNAcentral.